GUACUGAUGAACAGUCCCAAACCAGGACGAAACAGGUGUCCAGUAU
Non-coding RNA from Trichobilharzia regenti, 46 nucleotides. The record is from Rfam. NCBI's taxonomy places the organism in Eukaryota, Metazoa, Platyhelminthes, Trematoda, Strigeidida, Schistosomatidae.